AGCAGCCGCGGUAAUUCCAGCUCCAAUAGCGUAUAUUAAAGUUGUUGCAGUUAAAAGCUCGUAGUUGAAUUUCGGGAUUUAUCCGUUGGUCGGGCUUUUGGUCUGUACUGGCGUGAUGGAUUCCUACCUUCUGAAUAACCGGCAUGCCAUUAAUUUGGUGCGCCGGGGAAGCAGGACUGUUACCUUGAAAAAAUUAGAGUGCUUAAAGCAGGCUUAUGCCUGAAUACAUUAGCAUGGAAUAAUGAAAUAGGACGUAUGAUCCUAUUUUGUUGGUUUCUAGGAUUGACGUAAUGAUUAAUAGGGAUAGUUGGGGGCGAUUAGUAUUCAAUUGUCAGAGGUGAAAUUCUUGGAUUUAUUGAAGACUAACUACUGCGAAAGCAUUUGCCAAGGAUGUUUUCAUUAAUCAAGAACGAAAGUUAGGGGAUCGAAGACGAUCAGAUACCGUCGUAGUCUUAACCAUAAACUAUGCCGACUAGGGAUCGGAUGAUGUUAAUUUUUUAAUGACUCAUUCGGCGCCUUA
This 520-nucleotide ribosomal RNA is filed under the name uncultured Acaulospora. Its description in RNAcentral is "SSU rRNA". It matches the Rfam family "Eukaryotic small subunit ribosomal RNA", at positions 569 to 1090 of the family's 1831-position model. The record is from RNAcentral. Lineage: Eukaryota; Fungi; Glomeromycota; Glomeromycetes; Diversisporales; Acaulosporaceae.